RNAcentral lists this ribosomal RNA (240 nucleotides) under uncultured bacterium. RNAcentral describes it as "partial 16S ribosomal RNA". It matches the Rfam family "Bacterial small subunit ribosomal RNA", at positions 29 to 254 of the family's 1533-position model. The record is from RNAcentral.
AACGAACGCUGGCGGCGUGCCUAAUACAUGCAAGUCGAACGAGAAAGCGUAGCAAUACGUUAGUAAAGUGGCAGACGGGUGAGUAAUACAUAGGUAAUCUACCUUCGAGAUGGGGAUAACCUUCGAAGGAGGGCUAAUACCGAAUGAGACCACAGAGAUUAAUUUCUCAGGGGUUAAAGGUGACCUCUAUUUAUAAGUUAUCGCUUGAAGAUGAGCUUAUGCACCANCAGCUAGUUGGUA